GCGCGCAGGCGUGGGCAGCAGCGCAGCAGGCGCGCCAGGCAGUCGUCGGUAACGUGGCCGCAGCCCGAGAGCGUGACGGACGCCAGGUUGGGGCACCUGUGAGGAGAGUGCGGUGACCCGGGGCUCACUGGCUUGUUAAAGCUACCCAACCGCCCCAUGGGACCGAGUGGACUCAUUUACCGAGGAGGACUCGGGCCCUGCGAGGUGAAGACACUUGGCUGCGAUGACACUGCAGGGUUCCAAGUCGGCUUUCUGGCCGGCCCAUUUUCCCUCCUCUUUCUGCCCCUGCACCCCACCGUACCUUCAUCUGCGUGGGUUCUUGGCUCGUAGCCUUGGGAGCCCCUAGUGGGAAGCCCCGACCCCGGCCCAGCAGAGUCCUGGGGCGGCUGUGGACAGAGGGAAUGCCGGUUCCAGGAGCCACAACCCUUGACUCUUUGUUUCGCUCUGGAUGUGCUGCCUUGCAGGGGAGCGGUGCUUGGCGAUUGCUCCAGUCUAGCUUCAAGCUGAGGCCCCUGAAUGUCCCGGCGGGACGUGAGUGGGAAGAGGGAUUUGUUUCCUUGGAGGUGGCCUAGUGACAGGCCCAUCCCAACCCUCAAGGCGGUGGGGGCACGCGUUAGCAUUGAGUCCGGGUUCAGCUUAGUAGACUAGAGCUGUUCCUGCAUCCCCUGGGCCACCAGCCUGGAAAAGGGUAGGGUUCGGAGGCAGCUAGAGGCAAGCCCUGAGCAGGUACAGUCACGGACACCCACCCAGGUCGCUUGGCCAGAAAGCUUGGGGGACCCUCUGCUGCAGCCUCACCAGCCCCUCCCAGCAAAGAAAAGAUCUUGAGCCAAGUUAGACUUGGUUUAUCGCCGUGUCAGUCACUCACGGAGCCUUCAUUUCCUCUGCGUGGGGGGAAUAAUGUCUACCACUGGGGUUGUGAGGAGCCUGCAACGGGGCCUUCCACAGGCAGUCCUAACCCGCUUUCCCUGGAAACAAACGGGACCAGCCUGCUUCCAGUCCAGAAGGACCGACUAAUGGGCCGGGGCCUUGGCUCCCCGCAGCCAGAGGGAGCUAGAGUCUGGGCUGGGGAAGCGUUUCCCUUUCCCUGCCAGCCUCCCCCGCAGCUCCGUGACUGCCCCUGGCUGUGCCAGCUCGGCUCCUUUGUGCCAGGGGAGGGAAGUAAGGAACUUAAAUAUGUUGGGUGCAGCCAGGUGUCACACCGAGCCCGGGCCUCCUUCAGGUUUGUGUGCCCUCAUUAGUCACCCCGUCAACCUCUGCACCCCCAGUUUUGUACAUGAAGAAACUGGCUCCGGCAGCUCAGGUGACUGGCUGGUGACUUAUUUGCUGUCAGACCCAGGACAGAUGUCUGAACCUUGCUGGGCGUCACUUCCUCAUUUGUCAAGUGGGAGGAAUUGUUACCUUCAAGGUGGUUAUAAGGAUUAGGUGUUUAAGCCUCAAAGGUGUUGGGUGAUCUUUUCUUCUAAGAAUCUUUGGAAUAAUUCUGAUACAGGGAAAAAACAAAGAGCGGACUGUCCCCCUGCCCAGCCAUCCUCAGCCAUUCCUCCCGACCUGAGCUGAGUGCCAGAAGAACCAGAUUCAGUAGACGUUCAUCAGUACCUACUAUGUGCCAGGUCACUUCAUCCUGGCCCAGGUACUGCAGCUCCAAAUCGUGGGGAUUCUGUAAGAGCUUGCUACCUGUUGACUGAGGAGGCCCACGAGUUGAGAAGAACUAGCAAGAGUGGUACAAAACUGCAGGUCAUUGGGCUGGCCACCAGGUAUUCCCACCCACCAGAAGCUGGCUGUUGUACUCACCCGGAACCAUGGUGCACCACCACAGCGGCGAGGUCAUACAGGCAGCUCUCCGGGCCACUGUUCUCAGGCUACAGAACAAGGAAGAAGGAGCAGUGGUCAAUGACAUCAGUAUCUCGAUGACCUCUACCCUCUCCAUGUGAUGACAAUCUUACUGAAGAGCCAUUUUUUCACCAUGCUAAAAAGGUAACCACCUUACCUCUAGUAAGUAGCAUUUCAUGUCUAGGCCUCUCAGUGGAAAUUCUACGUAUGUAUCAACUUUAUUUCUUAAAUAUGCUGUCCAAUGAAAUCUUUUCAAAUGUAAGCAUAGCACCUGGAGGACAGAGAUGCGGUCAAAGAUUGUGAACACCUAAUUUACCUUUCAGUCAAAGUUUGAUACUACUAUCAGUUCAGUAAAUAACAUUUUAGCUGCCCUAUCAAUCAUUCUUCCAUGCAUACCUUAUGCAUUCAUUCUGUAAGGGGUUUAGCUUUUACUGAAAAUCCUAGAGAAAAAUACAGAACAGUUCACAUAGUGUAAAGUUAUAGACAUGGUCUUAGCAGUCAAGCACUUUCCCAUUGAAAUUGCUUCAUAACUCAAAAUUCAACACUCACCUUGGGUAGUUUUUGAAUCCAAAACUUUUUUGUGGACUUUUGUUUCUUUUUGCAUUUAUGGCACAUAUAUAACUCUGUCUCAUCAAGUUCUUCUAAGUCGGUAAAACUGCGAAGACAAUCUAAACAAAUUGAUUUUGGCAGCAUUAAAACAAGAUGCCUUUUGUAGAGGCAAUGUACUGUAGAAAAAAGACCCAGGUUUAAAAUCUCAGCUUUAUUAGCUAUACGACCUUAGAAAAGUUAACCUUUCUCAAUUGCAAACUGGAGACAAAAAAUAAUACCUACUUUGAAGAACUAUUAUAAGGAAGAGAAAUAAUGUGUAGAGCACCUGGCAUCAUGCCUGACAUCUGGUGAUGAUCAAUUGUGUUGGUUUUACUAUUAAUGAUAAUUCAUCUGGAUAAUUCUGAUAAAAUGGUUUCCUGAUGAAUUUAAAGUUUCAAUUGUAGUUUUCUGUCAAUAUGUUACAUUAUACAGGACAAAGCUCCAAACUCAUAAAAAAAAGUCAAAUUUAGAUAAUUUAAAAAUAAACAUAGAUCACAGAAGGCUACACUAUCAACCUUCUCUGUCCAGACGCUGUACUCUCAGUUCCUAGAUAAAUCACAGCUACAUUUUUUUUCAUUUAAAGAUGUAAUUGUGUAACCUGGGGUUUAGUAAACUACAGUCCUAAAACAUCCAGCCAGCCACCUGGUUUUGUAAAUAAAGUUUCAUUGGAACAGAGCCAUGCCCACUUGUUUACAUUAUUGUCUGGCUGCUUUUACACUACACCAAACUGAGUCACUGGGGCAGAGACCUUAUGUGGUGCAAAGCCUAAAACACUGUAAAUCUUCACUUAAUAUCAUGACAGGUUCUUGAAAAUUGUGACCUUAUGUGAAGCAACGAUAAACCACUUUUUUCUCAUCAAUGUUAUAACUAAACGUUAAAGGAAACUAUUAUUGGAGGACCUGCUGUAUGUCAUUUUGCUUUAAACUUGCAGUUUCCAAGAACCUACUGAUGACAUUAAAUGAAGACUUACUGUAUUUACUCUUUGGCCCCUGUGCCAAUUCCUGAUGCAAUCAGAUAUUCAUAAAUCUAUAUAAAAUACACGUUAUUCUGUAGAAAAAAUAUGAAUGCCUAUGGACCCCACACUUGGAUUUUCUCGAGUACUCAAGGAGCCAGGGUCUCUGUGCACGGCCUCUCCUAGAGUUGUGCAGUGGACAACCUGUGUGGCCAUGUGCUUCUUACCAAAGAUAAUUCCCCUUCCUCUGCCCAGAAGUAGCCAUUAUCCUGACUUUUAUGUCAUUUGUCUUUAUAGAACA
Molecule: long non-coding RNA, 3671 nt
Organism: Homo sapiens (human)
Lineage: Eukaryota; Metazoa; Chordata; Mammalia; Primates; Hominidae
Gene: USP3-AS1
Product: USP3 antisense RNA 1
Source: Ensembl